Trichomycterus rosablanca is the source of this 661-nucleotide long non-coding RNA. RefSeq lists it as uncharacterized. Lineage: Eukaryota; Metazoa; Chordata; Actinopteri; Siluriformes; Trichomycteridae. The transcript is spliced from 2 exons. The record is from RefSeq and is a predicted model, not a curated record.
UUUAGGAUUUACUCCAGACUUGCGCCUGGGUGGGGCCACAUCCACCGCAACCCGAAACAGGAUCAAGCGCCUUGUGAAUAAAUUGACUCCUGUGAUCGACUCCAUCUACAUGAACAACUGCUGUCAGAAUCAGAGUCGACUCCAACAUCUCAGCCCUAGCUCCCAAACUUCACUUCCGGCCAGAGCACUAAAACCUUUGUAGCAGAUCCUUCCGCGGACUUAAUGUUUACCGUUUUUUUUCAUAGCUGUCUUUAAAUUCUUAUUUUAUAAGUAUGCAUGACACAUGUUUUUCAUACACACAACCUGUAAGCAUUUAUCUUCAAAGGUAAAAUUGACAUUAUGUAAAGCCUGGCGUUUUAUUACGUGUAUUUUGACGCGCUUUGGUACACUGGAUUGGGGUGUGUUACAUCAGACAGCUGGAAUGCCAUGCAGCGGGAAUGUGAGGAACGAAGCAGCUGCAGCUCCCACUCAGCGUUUAUCUAAAGCGAUUAGAUUAGUACACAACAAUAAGUAGCAACUCAUGCAUGUUUGCACUGUUUUGCUUGUAUUUACCCUUUUACACAGGGGUAAUUGUGUCUUGUACGACGAUGGUUUUGAAACAAAGAAUUCUCUCAUUACGCUUAUUUGUGUAGGACUGUAAAUAAAAUCUACUAUUUCCGAC